Molecule: ribosomal RNA, 510 nt
Filed under: uncultured bacterium
Lineage: Bacteria
Description: bacterial SSU rRNA
Rfam family: Bacterial small subunit ribosomal RNA
Source: RNAcentral
AUUGAACGCUGGCGGCAGGCCUAACACAUGCAAGUCGAGCGGCAGCGGGAAAGUAGCUUGCUACUUUUGCCGGCGAGCGGCGGACGGGUGAGUAAUGCCUGGGAUCUGCCCAGUCGAGGGGGAUAACUACUGGAAACGGUAGCUAAUACCGCAUACGCCCUACGGGGGAAAGCAGGGGACCUUCGGGCCUUGCGCGAUUGGAUGAACCCAGGUGGGAUUAGCUAGUUGGUGAGGUAAUGGCUCACCAAGGCGACGAUCCCUAGCUGGUCUGAGAGGAUGAUCAGCCACACUGGAACUGAGACACGGUCCAGACUCCUACGGGAGGCAGCAGUGGGGAAUAUUGCACAAUGGGGGAAACCCUGAUGCAGCCAUGCCGCGUGUGUGAAGAAGGCCUUCGGGUUGUAAAGCACUUUCAGCGAGGAGGAAAGGUCAGUAGCUAAUAUCUGCUGGCUGUGACGUUACUCGCAGAAGAAGCGCCGGCUAACUCCGUGCCAGCAGCCGCAGUAACAC